RNAcentral lists this ribosomal RNA (69 nucleotides) under uncultured bacterium. RNAcentral describes it as "partial 16S ribosomal RNA". The record is from RNAcentral.
CUGCUGCCUUCCGUAGGAGUUUGGGCCGUGUCUCAGUCCCAAUGUGGCCGUNCCACUCNGACGUCGCUG